This is a non-coding RNA of Paramuricea clavata, 187 nucleotides long. The record is from the annotation of a GenBank genome assembly. NCBI's taxonomy places the organism in Eukaryota, Metazoa, Cnidaria, Anthozoa, Malacalcyonacea, Plexauridae.
CGGCUGUUGCAACUGUUGCUGCGGCAACUGUUGCUGUUGUAACUGUUGCGGCUGUAGCGUCUGCUGUUGCAAGUAUUGUGGCUGCUGCGGUGGCUGUUGUAACUGUAACUGCUGUUGUGGCAACUGUUGUGACUGCUGUGGUGGCUGUUGCAACUGUUGCUGGUGUGGUAAGUAUUGUGGCUGCUGC